RNAcentral lists this transfer RNA (85 nucleotides) under Chitinilyticum piscinae. RNAcentral describes it as "tRNA-Leu". It matches the Rfam family "tRNA". Rfam says of the family: Transfer RNA (tRNA) molecules are approximately 80 nucleotides in length. Lineage: Bacteria; Pseudomonadati; Pseudomonadota; Betaproteobacteria; Neisseriales; Chitinibacteraceae. The record is from RNAcentral.
GCCGCCAUGGUGAAAUUGGUAGACACAAGGGACUUAAAAUCCCUCGCCUUUUGGUGUGCCGGUUCGACCCCGGCUGGCGGCACCA